CCUACGGGGGGCAGCAGUGAGGAAUAUUGGUCAAUGGCCGGAAGGCUGAACCAGCCAAGUCGCGUGAGGGAAUAAGGCCCUAUGGGUCGUAAACCUCUUUUGUCAGGGAGCAAAGGCGUCCACGUGUGUACGCGCGGAGAGUACCUGAAGACAAAGCCUCGGCUAACUCCGUGCCAGCAGCCGCGGUAAUACGGAGGAUGCGAGCGUUAUCCGGAUUUAUUGGGUUUAAAGGGUGCGUAGGCGGAGUGUCAAGUCAGCGGUAAAAUUUCGGGGCUCAACCCCGUCGUGCCGUUGAAACUGACGCCAUUGAGUGAGUGAGAAGUAUGCGGAAGGCGUGGGGGAGCGGUGAAAUGCAGAGAUAUCACGCAGAACUCCGAUUGCGGAGGCAGCAUACCGGAGCCCGACUGACGCUGAGGUACGAAAGCGUGGGUAUCGAACAGGAUUAGAUACCCCUGUAGUC
RNAcentral lists this ribosomal RNA (460 nucleotides) under uncultured bacterium. Its description in RNAcentral is "partial 16S ribosomal RNA". It matches the Rfam family "Bacterial small subunit ribosomal RNA", at positions 338 to 795 of the family's 1533-position model. The record is from RNAcentral.